UACGAAGGGGGCUAGCGUUGCUCGGAAUCACUGGGCGUAAAGGGUGCGUAGGCGGGUCUUUAAGUCCGGGGGGAAAUCCUGGAGCUCAACUCCAGAACUGCCUUUGAUACUGAAGAGCUUGAGUUCGGGAGAGGUGAGUGGAACUGCGAGUGUAGAGGUGAAAUUCGUAGAUAUUCGCAAGAACACCAGUGGCGAAGGCGGCUCACUGGCCCGAUACUGACGCUGAUGCACGAAAGCGUGGGGAGCAAACAGG
This 253-nucleotide ribosomal RNA is filed under the name uncultured bacterium. RNAcentral's name for it is "partial 16S ribosomal RNA". It matches the Rfam family "Bacterial small subunit ribosomal RNA", at positions 524 to 776 of the family's 1533-position model. The record is from RNAcentral.